GGUCACCACCUCUCCCUCGAGUCUGGGAUGACCCCAGUGCACUGGAGCAAUAAAUUCCUCUUGCUUUUUGCAUCGAUCCUGGCUCCACGUGGUUCAAUCGGGAGAUCCCAGGCAUUCUAAGCUUAAAAGAAGUCAGAAUAGAAGCAGCCUUGGAUAAAAUAUACACACCAAUGUUCUUCAUGUGAUCAGCUGCCACACCCUUCUUUUGAGCCAUGCAACACCAAGACCCUGAACCCCUCAGCUAGGCAUCCUCAAGAUCAGGCCUGGCCAUUCUGCUGCUGGCAUGCUUAUUACACUACUGUAGCCUGGAAUACAGAUGCUGAUAUUCAACUCUCUCUUAUUUGUAGUUCACCAGAUGGGUCAGUUACAGAGAGUUAUGAGAUAAGAAAACUAGAGAUACAAUUCCACUAACUUUGGAAAUAUAAGAAAUACUUUCAAAGAAAAUGCAUAUUUGCUUUUGUUGUUGCUGUUUCAACUUUAUUGCUUAACCUAAAGGAAUAUAUUCAAUGGUGGAAAAUUCAUAACAUUGAAGCCCCAAGGAAGCUAUGGCAUCCUAUACUUAUCAGAUAUACCUCAGGACUCAUAGGCUACUAAAUAAAAUAAACCAAGACUGAGUUUGAUGUAAGAGACCCCUGAGAGAAGCCAAACCAGAUAUCUACAUGGUUGUGUUUGCUCAUCAAAGUGAACAGUGACUCUUGAAUUGCAGGAGAUGGGUCUCCCAGCCCCACCUAUCUAUCUCUCUCCCUGCUGAGGUUCUGGCACUCCCACAGCCUAGUACCACAUGACCUCUCCCUACUGAUCUGGUACCACUGGCCUUUCUGAUCAACCUCUUCUGGAGCCCACUUGGACCUUGGGUCCACCUCUUCUGUUCCUGGAACUUCACUUGUUCACAGGCUGUGUUCUUCCCUCUCCCAGGGAGGGCUAACAGUGCCACCAGAGCACUGAUUGGGACACUGGAAAAUGAGCUUUCUCUAACAGCAGUUAGGCAUCGCCAGUGCCCAACAACAGACUCUUCUCUGUGCAUCAAAUCAAACUGCAGAAACUCUCCAUACCAGCUCCACAUCCACGAGCUCAACUGCUCAUAAGAACAAAAUCUGCAUCUGCAUCUGCACUGAACAUGAACAGUCUGUGUUGUCAUUGUUCCUUAAUAGUUCAAUAGAAUAUUUUUACAUAUCA
RNAcentral lists this long non-coding RNA (1176 nucleotides) under Mus musculus (house mouse). Its description in RNAcentral is "predicted gene, 56701". The record is from RNAcentral. Lineage: Eukaryota; Metazoa; Chordata; Mammalia; Rodentia; Muridae.